CCUACGGGGGGCAGCAGGCGCGAAACCUCCGCAAUGCACGCAAGUGCGACGGGGGGACCCCAAGUGCCACUCUUAACGGGGUGGCUUUUCAGGAGUGUAAAAAGCUCCUGGAAUAAGGGCUGGGCAAGACCGGUGCCAGCCGCCGCGGUAACACCGGCAGCUCGAGUGGUAGCCGCGUUUAUUGGGCCUAAAGCGUCCGUAGCCGGUCCGAUAAGUCUCUGGUGAAAGCCCACAGCUCAACUGUGGGAAUCGCUGGAGAUACUAUCGGACUUGAGGCCGGGAGAGGCUGGAGGUACUCCCAGGGUAGGGGUGAAAUCCUAUAAUCCUGGGAGGACCACCUGUGGCGAAGGCGUCCAGCUGGAACGGACCUGACGGUGAGGGACGAAAGCCAGGGGCGCGAACCGGAUUAGAUACCCGUGUAGUCC
RNAcentral lists this ribosomal RNA (425 nucleotides) under uncultured Methanobacteriaceae archaeon. Its description in RNAcentral is "bacterial SSU rRNA". It matches the Rfam family "Archaeal small subunit ribosomal RNA", at positions 322 to 747 of the family's 1478-position model. The record is from RNAcentral. Lineage: Archaea; Methanobacteriati; Methanobacteriota; Methanobacteria; Methanobacteriales; Methanobacteriaceae.